AGAAAAUCUAUUGUUUCACUUGUGCACUAGUCUAUUCCACAAAUAAUACACUGUACUUUGUAAAGUCUUCUGAGUAUCUGAACUAAAAGGUCCAUCAGGAUAAAAAAUUAGACCUGUUGGUGAAUUGUAUAAUGUUGUAUUUGGGUAACACAUGCUCUUCCUGAGGAGAAAUUAAUUCAACUACUAAUAUUCAGGAACUGGAGAAGUCUGAUAUUGAUUCCAUGACUUCCUAUGUGCCUAGCACCAUACUAAGAAAUUUGUAUACAAUUUUGAAUUAAAAACUUGUAAUUAGGAUUCAGUUUUGUUUUCUUUAAUUAAAAAAGAGAAGCCUGAGUUUUAAGAAGAAAAGCUAAUUUUCCCAAGUAACAAAGCAGGAACUUAAAAGUACAAUGUGACUUUGGAGCUUCAUUCCAAAAAUUAAUGACAGCACUUUGGAGCUCCUAUUCCAAAAAUUAGUGACAGAAACCCAGACUUCUCUAAAGAUAAUUACCUUAAAAUUACAAAGCCAGGGUAAACAUGAUAUUCUUCAAUCCUUGAAUGGUGAAGCUGGAAGAGAACUUAAAAUAAUAUCUAGCUUAGUCAAGGUUUAUAAUCAGUUCUUAGCUGUGAAACUCUCUUUAAAUAAAAUCUUACCUGGAAGCUAGAAGAAAUAAACUAUAUAAGUUUGGAGAAAUCUAUUGAAGAUAGAAGGGACAAUGUUAGGCUUAUAGGAUUCCUAGUUUCAGGUGCUUUCUAAGGGCAAAUCAAAGAAUCCUUCCAUAAUCAAUUCCUAGAGGAAUAAUUUGAAAAUCCAUUAUUAAGUAUAACAUCU
This 811-nucleotide long non-coding RNA is filed under the name Marmota monax (woodchuck). Lineage: Eukaryota; Metazoa; Chordata; Mammalia; Rodentia; Sciuridae. The record is from RNAcentral.